Molecule: ribosomal RNA, 439 nt
Filed under: uncultured bacterium
Lineage: Bacteria
Description: partial 16S ribosomal RNA
Rfam family: Bacterial small subunit ribosomal RNA
Source: RNAcentral
ACUACGGGUGGCAGCAGUGGGGGAUAUUGCACAAUGGGGGGAACCCUGAUGCAGCGACGCCGCGUGGGUGAAGAAGCGCCUCGGCGCGUAAAGCCCUGUCAGCAGGGAAGAAAAUGACGGUACCUGAAGAAGAAGCCCCGGCUAACUACGUGCCAGCAGCCGCGGUAAUACGUAGGGGGCAAGCGUUAUCCGGAUUUACUGGGUGUAAAGGGGGCGCAGACGGCGAUGCAGGCCAGGAGUGAAAGCCCGGGGCCCAACCCCGGGACUGCUCUUGGAACUGCGUGGCUGGAGUGCAGGAGGGGCAGGCGGAAUUCCUGGUGUAGCGGUGAAAUGCGUAGAUAUCAGGAGGAACACCGGUGGCGAGGGCGGCCUGCUGGACUGCAACUGACGUUGAGGCCCGAAAGCGUGGGGAGCAAACAGGAUUAGAUACCCGGUAGUC